RNAcentral lists this ribosomal RNA (387 nucleotides) under uncultured bacterium. Its description in RNAcentral is "bacterial SSU rRNA". It matches the Rfam family "Archaeal small subunit ribosomal RNA", at positions 339 to 726 of the family's 1478-position model. The record is from RNAcentral.
GCGCGAAAACUUUACAAUGCUGGCAACAGCGAUAAGGGAACCUCGAGUGCCAGGUUACAAAUCUGGCUGUCGAGAUGCCUAAAAAGCAUUUCAUAGCAAGGGCCGGGCAAGACCGGUGCCAGCCGCCGCGGUAACACCGGCGGCUCGAGUGGUAACCGUUAUUAUUGGGUCUAAAGGGUCUGUAGCCGGCCGGAUAUGUCUCUUGAGAAAUCUGGCAGCUUAACUGUCAGGCUUUCAGGAGAUACUGUCUGGCUCGAGGCCGGGAGAGGUGAGAGGUACUUCAGGGGUAGGGGUGAAAUCUUGUAAUCCUUGAAGGACCACCAGUGGCGAAGGCGUCUCACCAGAACGGACCUGACGUCAAGGGACGAGAGCUAGGGGCACGAACCG